This 298-nucleotide long non-coding RNA is filed under the name Ananas comosus (pineapple). RNAcentral's name for it is "long non-coding RNA (ACOM_LNC040315)". Lineage: Eukaryota; Viridiplantae; Streptophyta; Magnoliopsida; Poales; Bromeliaceae. The record is from RNAcentral.
GACCCACAUGAUGGGAUCAAAAUGUUGUCUGUCACCUAAUUCGGUCCUCAACUGCUGACAAACGUACUGUGCCAGAGUAGUCUUCCCGACCCCCGGGCGACCGACGAUGGCAAUUAUAGGUAUAGGUAUGCCUGCUGCAGGUUCCAUUUUCAAACGCCGAAUGAUUUCAUCACGAUCUUCGUCGCGGCCGAACACUCUCUGCGGAGGCACUGAGAUGGUCUGCCUGCUGUCUGCUGUCUCAGGCUGUGCGCCUAACAAAGUGCUGAGUUUCUUGGCUUCGCCGGCGAUCUUUUUCAGC